AUGACACAAAUUGAAACAAGCUCCGAUCAGUGCUGCAACAAGCAAAUGUGGAGCUAUAUGUAUAGGACUGUUGUCCUAGAGCAGAAAGAAACCCAAAGGUCAAUGAAAAUUCAGAUGAGACAACUAACUUCAGCUAGUCUAGAAACUGUCUUUUGCCUAUUGAAUACAGAUGCAAAACAUAUAAUGUUGUUAUUGGCAAAUAAAAAGGAAUACAUGCUGACAACAGAAAGAAAUAGCAACGUACUUGCCGAAGAGAGUUUGUACCAAACCCCAAGGCCAAUGAAUUCAGAUGGGACAACUUCAAUGCCAAGAAAAUCGAAUACCAACACAAAACAGUAG
RNAcentral lists this ribosomal RNA (339 nucleotides) under Triticum aestivum (bread wheat). RNAcentral describes it as "partial small subunit ribosomal RNA". Lineage: Eukaryota; Viridiplantae; Streptophyta; Magnoliopsida; Poales; Poaceae. The record is from RNAcentral.